Molecule: ribosomal RNA, 482 nt
Filed under: Hippocampus capensis (Knysna seahorse)
Lineage: Eukaryota; Metazoa; Chordata; Actinopteri; Syngnathiformes; Syngnathidae
Description: partial 16S ribosomal RNA
Rfam family: Bacterial large subunit ribosomal RNA
Source: RNAcentral
GUUUAACGGCCGCGGAUUUUGACCGUGCAAAGGUAGCGCAAUCACUUGUCUUUUAAAUAAAGACCUGUAUGAAUGGCAUAACGAGGGCUAAACUGUCUCCUCACCCCAGUUAAUGAAAUUGAUCUUCCCGUGCAGAAGCGGGAAUUAACACAUAAGACGAGAAGACCCUGUGGAGCUUCAGACAAUAGAUGAAUUUAUUAAACAAUUAACACCAUAUAAAAGGUAGUUAAAACAAUAACCUCAUCCUAAGUCUUUAGUUGGGGCGACCGCGGAGCAAAACAAAACCUCCGUGAGGAAUGAGGUAAAAACCUUAUACCCAAGAAUGUCAUUUCUAAGUACCAAAAUAUUUGACCCACAGAUCCGGCAACAGCCGAUCAACGAACCUAGUUACCCCAGGGAUACAGCGCAAUUCUCUUUGAGAGUCCCUAUCGACAAGAGAGUUUACGACCUCGAUGUUGGAUCAGGACAUCCUAAUGGUGUAG